RNAcentral lists this ribosomal RNA (253 nucleotides) under uncultured bacterium. RNAcentral describes it as "partial 16S ribosomal RNA". It matches the Rfam family "Bacterial small subunit ribosomal RNA", at positions 524 to 776 of the family's 1533-position model. The record is from RNAcentral.
UACGGAGGGGGCUAGCGUUGUUCGGAAUUACUGGGCGUAAAGCGCACGUAGGCGGCUUUGCAAGUCAGAGGUGAAAGCCCGGGGCUCAACCCCGGAAUUGCCUUUGAGACUGCAUCGCUAGAAUUGUGGAGAGGUAAGUGGAAUUCCGAGUGUAGAGGUGAAAUUCGUAGAUAUUCGGAAGAACACCAGUGGCGAAGGCGACUUCCUGGUCCAGCACCGACGUUCAGGCACGAAAGCGUGGGGAGCAAACAGG